UCUAUCGUCCAUAUGGAUUGUACCGGCCUGAACCACCAGCCAAAUUUCCCCUGCUUCUUUCAGGUGUGCUACCAGAUGCAUAACCACCUAGUGCAGGAUCAUAUGCUGCGCCGCCAUACAUAGCGCCACCAAAGCUAGAACUACUGAGGCCACCAAAGCUCUCAUCACCACCACGCCUGUAUCCACUUAAGUUCCCACCAGCGUAAGGUCCAUCAAAACCUCCUCCAUACGGCCCAACACGACUAGCAUAACCAAAAGAAGGCAUGCUUCCAGAUCCUCCUAAUCCUGGAUAGUAACGGCCAUACUGAACACCAUAUUCACCUAUCCCACCAUAACCACUGAGACUACCACCACCAUAAACUCCAUGGUUCCUAUAAGGCCCAAAUCCACCACUGUUGUAGUUGCUAUAAGCAUUGGCCAGUCCACCAUAGUCAUUGCCAGAAGAAUGACCCCUAGAAUCCCUACCAUAUGCUGAUCUAGAGGCACUACCAUGUGAUGAUGGUGGUGGAUUUGAGGAUUUCUUUGGUUCUGCUUUCUUGAUCUCCACCUACAAAGCAAAUGACCGAAAUCAAUCAUAUUUCCAUUUGCUAAUAAAUCAUCUACAACCUGAUCAGAACUAAAAACUAUAAAUCCAAAGCCUCGUGAACGCUUGGUUUGAUGAUCACGCAUAAUCUGAUGGUCCACCACAGGGCCAUAUUUCUGGAAGAAAUGCUUGAAAUCAUCUGAUACAUCAUACAUUGCUUGAGGAAGCCCACCAACAAAUAUCUUUUUAGUUUUGAAAUCCUUUGAUUGCACAGAAUCUUUUGGAAUGGUUCUCUUGAUUUCAACCUGCUUUCCAUUGAAUUCAUGGAUAUCAUCCAUCACUCUAUCCACAACGGCAGGGUUAGAAUAUGUAAUAAAGCCAAAGCCCCUUGGCUGAGAUGUGUGCUUAUCCCUCAUUAUCACUGAAUCAACUAUUUCUCCAUACUGGCCAAAAUGCUUC
This 982-nucleotide small RNA is filed under the name Oryza sativa Japonica Group (Japanese rice). RNAcentral's name for it is "sRNA Os08g0492150". The record is from RNAcentral. Lineage: Eukaryota; Viridiplantae; Streptophyta; Magnoliopsida; Poales; Poaceae.